Molecule: ribosomal RNA, 254 nt
Filed under: uncultured bacterium
Lineage: Bacteria
Description: partial 16S ribosomal RNA
Rfam family: Bacterial small subunit ribosomal RNA
Source: RNAcentral
UACGUAGGGGGCGAGCGUUGUCCGGAUUCAUUGGGCGUAAAGAGCUCGUAGGCGGCUUGGCAAGUCGGGUGUGAAAACUUCAGGCUCAACCUGGAGCGGCCACUCGAUACUGCCAUGGCUUGAGUCCGGUAGGGGACCACGGAAUUCCUGGUGUAGCAGUGAAAUGCGUAGAGAUCAUGAGGAAGACCAGUGGCGAAGGCGGGUCUCUGGACAGUUCCUGACACUGAGACACGAAGGCCAGGGGAGCAAACGGG